RNAcentral lists this ribosomal RNA (414 nucleotides) under uncultured bacterium. RNAcentral describes it as "bacterial SSU rRNA". It matches the Rfam family "Bacterial small subunit ribosomal RNA", at positions 8 to 423 of the family's 1533-position model. The record is from RNAcentral.
AGAGUUUGAUCCUGGCUCAGAAUGAACGCUGGCGGCGUGCCUAACACAUGCAAGUCGGAUGUGCCGCAAGGUGCAUGGCAGACGGGUGAGUAACGCGUGGGGAAUCUACCUCUUUGUGGGGAAUAACGCUCCGAAAGGAGUGGUAAUACCGCAUGAGAUCCAUGGCUGGGAUGCUGUGGAUGAAACCUGGGGACCGCAAGGCCUGGGGCAAGGAGAGGAUCCUGCGUCUGAUUAGCUAGUUGGUGAGGUAAUGGCCCACCAAGGCGACGAUCAGUAGCCGGCCUGAGAGGGUGAUCGGCCACACUGGAACUGAGACACGGUCCAGACUCCUACGGGAGGCAGCAGUGGGGAAUUUUGCGCAAUGGGCGGAAGCCUGACGCAGCAACGCCGCGUGGGUGAUGAAGGUCUUCGGAU